Molecule: non-coding RNA, 67 nt
Organism: Dipodomys ordii (Ord's kangaroo rat)
Lineage: Eukaryota; Metazoa; Chordata; Mammalia; Rodentia; Heteromyidae
Source: Rfam
GGGAAUGUGGCUUAGUGGUAGAGUACUUGCCUAGCAUGCAAGCCCUAGGUUCGACUCCUUAGUACCA